Molecule: ribosomal RNA, 774 nt
Filed under: Triticum aestivum (bread wheat)
Lineage: Eukaryota; Viridiplantae; Streptophyta; Magnoliopsida; Poales; Poaceae
Description: partial small subunit ribosomal RNA
Source: RNAcentral
AUGAGUGGCUUCCUAGUGCUGAAGAUUGGGACCGAUUAUGUGACUACCAAUGUUUACUUCCCUAAGAUAUGUGAAAUUAAAAUGAAAAUGAGGCAGUGGGAAACUUCUAGCAAUGAGAUUAUCCAAAAAAUGACAAGAAGCAUGACUGAAAAAUUUGAUAAGUAUUGGAGUGACAUUCAAGCUCUAAUGGCUAUAGCUACCCUUCUUGACCCUCGAUACAAGAAGCAAAUGUUGGUAGCUUGCUUUGCCAUGCUCCAUGGAAUUGAGCCAUCUUCUUAUGAAUGCAUUGAAAAAAUUGAUGACAUAGUUGCUAGUUUGCAUUCAUUAUUGGAGGAGUAUGAAGUGGAAAAUGAGGCAUGUACACCAGAUGAUGAAUCUGUGAUGACCACAAUGAAAGCUCCUGCAAUCAUGAGUAUAUUUCAUAACAUUGUAGCUCAGCAAAUGCCUGCAACAGCUAGACUUCAAUGUGAAAUAGAGCAGUACUUGACUGAUGGUUUAGUGCCUUACGUUGAAAAGUUCAAUGUGUUGGAUUGGUGGAAGGUGGCUGGAACCAGGUAUCCGACCUUAAGGAAAGUAGCAAGAGACAUAUUUGCUAUUCACGUAACAACAGUUGCUUCAGAGUCAGCCUUUAGUAUAAGUGGCAGAAAGCUUAAUGACCAUAGAAGCCGACUUACACCUUAUAUGGUGGAGGUUCUAAUGUGCUCGGAAGAUUGGCUUCGAAACAAGUACAUAGGUGACAAAAUAGUGCACUUCAUUAAUAUUUUCUCUUGCUGA